UAUACCUAGUAUUUUUGUAGAGGCUGUUUAUUUCCCCAAUUCCGAAUGAUGAAAAUAAACCUCGAAUUCCAUAUCUCUUAUGCCCAAACUUUAAAACAAUGAAAACCAAGAUUCACCUAGAAAUGCGAUACAAUGCUCUCUGAAGUUUUAGAUAAAAUUAAAAUUACUAAGGAAAAAGGAAAGAAAAAGAGAAAUCAGGGCUACGAAAAUAUCUAGUCUAGUCUCUUUCCAGCCCUCAGGCCAGCAUUAUCCCUUUCUGGAUUCCUUUCAACGGCUCUGGUGAAGGGAGGGCGAAAUAUCUGAAAUAGAUGUCAGCUCGGGAAGUGAUUUCCAGAAAGGUGCAGAUGAAGUUCAAUAACAAAGGAACUGGUUGGAAAGAUGGUUCCACAACGCAUGGAAGGACAAACAUUCACGGUUCUAGGUGGAAUCCAAAGAUGAAUGGAAUAAGAAAGGACUUAUACUCCAUCAAGACAUUCAAGAAGAUUAAGUCAUACAAGGAUGAAAGGCUCUACAUCGACCUUGGAUUUCUUUUGGAAAUCCAAAAUCAAAAGAAAGAACUUCUCAAUAUGGAGGAUUGUUCAAGAAGCACAAGAUCAAAGUGAAGAUGAGGAUUAGUUCGAACAUAAAGAAAACUUUAGAAUGAUAGUGAACACAAAAGAUUCCACACCAAGGAACGAUAAGUUCAAUGAAGAAAAUGUUCUAAUCAUCUUGAAUUUUCUUCGGAAAUCCAAGAGUAAGGUAUCAACAUUUCUUCAUGACAAGGAAUUAAAUCUGCAAGGCAAGCUAAGGUGGCAUCCCAAUCAUCAAUCAACCAUUUCAAGGGUUCCAAGUCAAACACGUCCAUGUGCAAUGAACCAGACUCAACAAGUGGAAGAUAUUAAAUUUUCUCAGUGGCCAAAAGGAGUUUUGUUGCAAUUAACCCUAAUUAGGGUUUUAUUUGUUAAUUUGGGCCAUUGCUUUGUAAUCAAGUGCCUAUAUAAACACUCCUUAUUUCAUUUAUUUCAUAUGAGAGAUUUCUAAGAAAUAGUUGUAGUGAUACUUCUUAAGUGCUAAGACAUAAUUCAUUGUUCAAUUGUUGGUUAA
Molecule: long non-coding RNA, 1083 nt
Organism: Cryptomeria japonica (Japanese cedar)
Lineage: Eukaryota; Viridiplantae; Streptophyta; Pinopsida; Cupressales; Cupressaceae
Exons: 2
Source: RefSeq, a predicted model, not a curated record